AGAUUCCGGAGAGGGAGCCUGAGAAACGGCUACCACAUCUAAGGAAGGCAGCAGGCGCGCAAAUACCCAAUCCUGACACAGGGAGGUAGUGACAAGAAAUAACAACACAGGGCAUUUCUAGUGCUUUGUGAUUGGAAUGAUAGGAAUCUAAACCCCUUCCAGAGUAACAAUUGGAGGGCAAGUCUGGUGCCAGCAGCCGCGGUAAUUCCAGCUCCAAUAGCGUAUAUUAAAGUUGUUGCAGUUAAAAAGCUCGUAGUUGGAUUUCUGUCAAGAACAAGCGGUCCGCUCCAUUGGAGUGUGUACUUGCAUCGUUUUUGACUUUCUUCUGAACCUUAAGCUGUUUUCCCUUCAUUGGGUAAAGCAGCUGGGCAGAACCUUUACUUUGAGAAAAUUAGAGUGUUUCAAGCAGGCUAGCGCCU
RNAcentral lists this ribosomal RNA (419 nucleotides) under uncultured alveolate. Its description in RNAcentral is "bacterial SSU rRNA". It matches the Rfam family "Eukaryotic small subunit ribosomal RNA", at positions 378 to 796 of the family's 1831-position model. The record is from RNAcentral.